This 114-nucleotide ribosomal RNA is filed under the name Holophagales bacterium. Lineage: Bacteria; Pseudomonadati; Acidobacteriota; Holophagae; Holophagales. The record is from RNAcentral.
UCGUGGCUAUACCCUGAGGGCCACACCCGUUCCCAUCCCGAACACGACCGUUAAGCCUCAGUGGGCCGAUGAUACUGCCCUGAACAUGAGUGGGAAAGUAGGUCGCCGCGACGU